GACUCGGAAACACGCAAUCAGCUCACCUUUGCACGCACGCACAGACUAACCGUUCACCUUUCUGCACGCGCACCACUCCACUCCCACACACACCAGAGUCACAUGUGCUCUCACUCAAAGAGAGCUCUGCACCCACUCACCCUGACACCCACACAACCACCCACACACUCACGUGCACUGCCAAAUAGCUCUCAGCCUCUACCCCCACCACCCCCGCACAUCCACCCCUCAGCGCCACAAACGCGUUGCGCGCACACUCGUGCGCGCGGGGCUUCGCUAAGUGCGCCUGAUCUGGUUUCCUCUCCUUCUGCGUGCGACCCCGCAGUGAUAGAAUAAACACAAAUACGUGAUAAUCACAUUCCUGACAUUUCUUUUCCUGCCGGUGGGAAGUUUCAACUGGUUUUCUGUUUGGCUGCGCGUGCGUGCGCGCGCGCUGGUGUGCAAAAAAGAAGAAAAGAAAGUGAGGAAAAAAAUGGAGAAAGAAAUGAGAGAAAGGGAACAAAGCGAUCUGGGGAGAAGUCUCCCACAUUCCUCAUUGAUGCCAAUAUCCAACCAGAACACCAGACCCGCACAAAACACACACACACACACACACACACACACACGCCGCACGCGCGCAAUGCACGCGCGCGCACAGACCAGAGUUGGAAGAAAAUCUGCUGGUUUUCACUACAUCUGCGGUUUCAUUCUCCACUUUCUCUCCGCGGAUCAAUUCAUGCAACAUUUGAACCCAAGUGGAAAGUUUGGCAGAAGAGGAAAAUCCUUCCAGACUCCAUCUGCUGCUCCACAGCUCCAGCUUCUCAUCCUACCUGAACUUCAUCUCCUCUGGAAGCAGCAGCGCGGACAGCGGAGCUGUGAAGACUCCUGCUGGAUUCUGCCUGUGUACCGAACCUGGAACUGAUUCCUGACUCCGUCCUGGAUUUCCCUUCGGUAUCUCUUCGGAUCCCUGAUCUUCUGGCUCUGACUCCUGAGCACGUCAGCGUCAGUGGCUUUGGCUUCGCCCUCUGGAUUAUCCUGCCUUCCUUCAACUGCUUGGUUCUGAUCACCUGCCUGCCCUCUGACCUCCGAGACAUCAGCUUCUGGGACUCUCUUGGCCGCCGGCUGGAACCAACCUUUUCCUCUGGACACGGACUGAACUACAACACCAGAUUAGCCUUCCUUCAUCGGCUCGGCUCUGACCUCCGGGGCUUCUGAGUCCCUCUGGGCAACAACCGUUGCUUCAUGUUGGCAGCCGACCGGGUGGAACCAACCUCAUCCUCUGGUCACGGACUGAAC
Long non-coding RNA from Cyprinodon variegatus (sheepshead minnow), 1275 nucleotides. RefSeq lists it as uncharacterized. The transcript has 3 exons. The record is from RefSeq and is a predicted model, not a curated record. Lineage: Eukaryota; Metazoa; Chordata; Actinopteri; Cyprinodontiformes; Cyprinodontidae.